UCGCUCUUAAGUGAGUUCUGCGUGCUGUGGGCUGAAAAUUGCAUAUAAAAGCCAAUAAUAUUAGUUAUUACCAUGUAAAGAAGCUCAGUCAGUGCACUUUUUAUGUAUUUUUAUGUGUGUGUGUGUGUCAAUAGCUGAUACAAUUAAACGUAUACAACAUUUUUUUUUUCAAACGUCUUUGCCUAUUCUCCACUGCAACAGUAACGGGUCUUUAAUGUAGCAUAAGCAACAACAUUAAAUAAAUAACAAUUAAAAGCUUUGUAAAUAAUCAGUUAACCUAAAGGAAAAAGCAACUGCAAGCCAAAUUCAAGCAAUAAUACCAGAGCAACAAUUACAGAAUUAUAUUAAAAG
This 351-nucleotide small RNA is filed under the name Drosophila mojavensis. Its description in RNAcentral is "GI27031". Lineage: Eukaryota; Metazoa; Arthropoda; Insecta; Diptera; Drosophilidae. The record is from RNAcentral.